This 468-nucleotide ribosomal RNA is filed under the name uncultured bacterium. RNAcentral's name for it is "partial 16S ribosomal RNA". It matches the Rfam family "Bacterial small subunit ribosomal RNA", at positions 28 to 507 of the family's 1533-position model. The record is from RNAcentral.
GACGAACGCUGGCGGCGUGCUUAACACAUGCAAGUCGAACGGAAAGGCCCUGCUUUUGUGGGGUGCUCGAGUGGCGAACGGGUGAGUAACACGUGAGUAACCUGCCCUUGACUUUGGGAUAACUUCAGGAAACUGGGGCUAAUACCGGAUAGGAGCUCCUGCUGCAUGGUGGGGGUUGGAAAGUUUCGGCGGUUGGGGAUGGACUCGCGGCUUAUCAGCUUGUUGGUGGAGUAGUGGCUUACCAAGGCUUUGACGGGUAGCCGGCCUGAGAGGGUGACCGGCCACAUUGGGACUGAGAUACGGCCCAGGCUCCUACGGGAGGCAGCAGUGGGGAAUAUUGCACAAUGGGCGGAAGCCUGAUGCAGCAACGCCGCGUGCGGGAUGACGGCCUUCGGGUUGUAAACCGCUUUCGCCUGUGACGAAGCGUGAGUGACGGUAAUGGGUAAAGAAGCACCGGCUAACUACGUG